Schistocephalus solidus is the source of this 83-nucleotide non-coding RNA. The record is from Rfam. Lineage: Eukaryota; Metazoa; Platyhelminthes; Cestoda; Diphyllobothriidea; Diphyllobothriidae.
GGCCUCGUAGCUCAGUUGGCUAGAGCGUUGGCUGCACUAAAGCCUUCCUCUUGCUGGCGUGGGUUCGAAUCCCACCGAGGUCG